This 71-nucleotide transfer RNA is filed under the name Luehdorfia japonica. RNAcentral's name for it is "trnA-Val". The record is from RNAcentral. Lineage: Eukaryota; Metazoa; Arthropoda; Insecta; Lepidoptera; Papilionidae.
CAAAUUAGAGCUUGAUUUUAAGUUUUUCAUUUACAUUGAAUAGAUAUUAUAUAUUUAUAUAAUUAAUUUGA